GACGAGCGCUGGCGGCGUGCUUAACACAUGCAAGUGGUGCGACGAACCAGGGCUUGCCCUGGGGCAAAGCCGCGAACGGGUGAGUAACACGUGGGUAAUCUGCCCCGAUGACCGGGACAACCCGAGGAAACUCGGGCUAAUACCGGAUGAUGAGCCUUGGCGUAAGCCUUGUCUCUAAAGGAAGCUUCGGCCUCCGCAUUGGGAGGAGCCCGCGGCCCAUUAGCUUGUUGGUGGGGUAAUGGCCUACCAAGGCAACGAUGGGUAGCUGGUCUGAGAGGACGAUCAGCCACACUGGGACUGAGACACGGCCCAGACUCCUACGGGAGGCAGCAGUGGGGAAUCUUGCGCAAUGCGCGAAAGCGUGACGCAGCAACGCCGCGUGGGGGAAGACGGCCUGG
This 398-nucleotide ribosomal RNA is filed under the name uncultured bacterium. RNAcentral's name for it is "bacterial SSU rRNA". It matches the Rfam family "Bacterial small subunit ribosomal RNA", at positions 28 to 419 of the family's 1533-position model. The record is from RNAcentral.